AUGGCUAGCAAGAAGAUUAUGUUCUUCAAACUGAUCAUAAGCCUUAGCCUUGCUGCUCGCAGUACUGGCAAUGAGGACGAUCAAUUUGUAUACUCAGGCUUCACCGGCAGCAACCUCGCCCUUGAUGGCAAUGCCAGGAUCAUGCCAAGCGGUCUCCUCGAGCUGACCAAUGGUACAGCUCGGCUUAAAGGCCACGCAUUCCAUCCAAACCCCAUGCGCUUCCACAAAUCUCCCAAUGGCACGGUGCGUUCUUUCUCUGUAUCGUUUGUGUUUGCCAUCCUCUCCACCGACCCUGACUUGAGUGGUCAUGGCCUUGCCUUCUUCAUUGCACCAACCAGGAAUUUCUCAGCUGCAUUCCCAACCCAGUACUUGGGCCUCUUCAGUGACCAGAAUAAUGGUGACCCAAACAACCACAUUUUUGCGGUUGAGCUUGACACCAAAAUUAUGACUUAG
This 453-nucleotide ribosomal RNA is filed under the name Triticum aestivum (bread wheat). RNAcentral describes it as "partial small subunit ribosomal RNA". The record is from RNAcentral. Lineage: Eukaryota; Viridiplantae; Streptophyta; Magnoliopsida; Poales; Poaceae.